RNAcentral lists this ribosomal RNA (1217 nucleotides) under bacterium. RNAcentral describes it as "partial 23S ribosomal RNA". It matches the Rfam family "Bacterial large subunit ribosomal RNA", at positions 1 to 1196 of the family's 2925-position model. The record is from RNAcentral.
UAUUAAAAGCUAAAAAUGGAUACCUUGGGUAAAAAAGUGGAUAAAGGACGUAAUUGGCUGCGAAAAGCUUCGAUAAGGUGCCAAUAACCGUUAUAAUCGAAGAUGUCCGAAUGGGGUAACCUGGCCUGUACAGCAGGCCGUCGUAAAGACCAUAACCGACUGAAGUGAAAUAUCUCAGUAAGUCGAGGAAAAUAAAUCGUAAUGAGAUUCCCGUAGUAGUGACGAGCGAACUGGGAAGAGCCCAAACCUCAUCAGUGUAAGGUUACAGCCGUUGCUGAUAGAGGUGUUGUAGGAUCAUUCUGGAUCUGCUGUUAAAGAUCCGAGGAGUUAUAAAGUACAUGUAUAAGAGAAGCUUUUGAAAAGAAGCACCAUAGAGGGUUACAGUCCCGUAUUUGAAAUAUAUGUAUCUCCUGAGUGACACCUGAGUAGUAUCGGACACGAGAAAUCCGGUAUGAAUCCGCCCAGACCACUGGGUAAGGCUAAAUACUUUUUUACACCGAUAGCGUAUAGUACCGUGAGGGAAAGGUGAAAAGAACCCCAGGAAGGGGAGUGAAAUAGAUUCUGAAAUUUUUAGCUUACAAAUGAGUGGGAGCUUCGCAGCAAUGUGGGGUGACCGCGUACCUAUUGACGAAUGGGUCAGCGAGUUAUUGGUAGUAGCAAGGCUAAGACAGGUAUAGUCGGAGCCGUAGCGAAAGCGAGUCUGAAUAGGGCGACUAGUUGCUAUCAAUAAACCCGAAGCGUGACGAGCUAGUCAUGGACAGGAUGAAGAGCCGGGAAACCGGCUUGGAGGUCCGAACGGUUUGGAGCUGCAAAUCCUUCCGAUGAUCCGUGUCUAGGAGUGAAAAGCUCAUCGAGUUACGUGAUAGCUGGUUCUCUCCGAAAUGUAUUUAGGUACAGCCAGCAAAAUAAGAUCUUGUAGAGGUAGAGCUCUUAUAAGGCUAGGGGUGUCGAAAGGCAUUACCAAACCUUGUUAAACUUCGAAUGCUACAAGGAAUAUUGUUGAGUGAGACUGCGGGGGCUAAGCUUCGUAGUCGAAAGGGUAACAGCCCAGAUUUCUAACUAAGGUCCCUAAAUUAUAGCUAAGUGGUAAAGGAAGUGUUUUUGCUUUAACAUCCAGGAGGUUUGCUUAGAAGCAGCAAUCCUUUAAAGAAAGCGUAACAGCUCACUGGACAAGCGAAAAUGCGCCGAAAAUGUAACGGGGCUCAAGCUAUAUACCG